GCCGGGUGCGGUGGCUCACACCUGUAAUCCUAGCACUUUGGGAGGCCGAGAUGGGUGGAUCAUCUGAGGUCAGGAGUUCGAGACCAGCCUGGCCAACAUGGUGAAACCCCAUCUCUA
Molecule: small RNA, 117 nt
Filed under: Papio anubis (olive baboon)
Lineage: Eukaryota; Metazoa; Chordata; Mammalia; Primates; Cercopithecidae
Description: Metazoan signal recognition particle RNA (ENSPANG00000049073.1)
Source: Rfam by way of RNAcentral